Non-coding RNA from Penaeus vannamei (Pacific white shrimp), 735 nucleotides. The record is from RefSeq and is a predicted model, not a curated record. Lineage: Eukaryota; Metazoa; Arthropoda; Malacostraca; Decapoda; Penaeidae.
UCCUACCGUAUCCUCCUUGGGUCCUUAUGCGAGAGGACUUCCAGCACCACCAGGGCUACUCGUGGCUCCAAAGGAUGUCCAAGUUUCCCUUCAACUUUGGCAUCGAGCACGUGAGUGACCGGGCCGUCAGCUUCCACGAGGUGCGGGACCCCAGAGACUUCUACACCCUACUGUACCUGACCAGCGACUUGAAGGUUCUUCCUGAAGGCGCAGAGUCUCCAUUUACACUUCCUGAAGGGUGAUUUCCGAUUUCAAUGUAUUAGUUAUCAGUUGAUUUUGUGUACGUUAUUCUGGUAUGGUAGUGUCGAAAAUAAAGGACUUUUUAACCUUAUGAAUCCCCAAAAUGAAACCAAUAAUGAUAAGACAGUGGUCAUUGUAUUUCGGACCAUGCGUGUGCUAACGCCAGUCUGGCCGUGUAGAUGGAUUUACUGCGCUAUAAUAUAGUUAUCCCUUUAACUUUUUCGUUUUCUUCAAUGAUGUAAAUAAAGAUAAUGGGAAUCCAGAAAUCUUUUGCAAAUAUAUGAAUUUACAACAGCAGUAACCAUGAAAACCGACAAUUGAAUGAUUAAUCUAGAAAUAUGUGAGAAAUGUCAGGAAUCAGGUGGCCAGGUGUUUUUUUAGACGUUAUUUCGGCUAAUUAGUUUAUAUCACCGAAACGAUAAACAAAGUGAUAACCAUUCUGAAAUCCUCGUUUGCUAGCACUGUGUUAUCUUGCAAUAAAGCAUUAAAGAUGUG